RNAcentral lists this ribosomal RNA (301 nucleotides) under uncultured bacterium. Its description in RNAcentral is "partial 16S ribosomal RNA". It matches the Rfam family "Bacterial small subunit ribosomal RNA", at positions 509 to 807 of the family's 1533-position model. The record is from RNAcentral.
CAGUAGCCGCGGUAAUACGAGGGGGGCAAGCGUUGUUCGGAACUAUUGGGCGUAAAGCGUGCGUAGGCGGUUCGUUAAGUCUGUUGUGAAAGCCCCGGGCUCAGCCUGGGAAUGGCAAUGGAUACUGGCGAGCUAGAGUGUGUCAGAGGAUGGCGGAAUUCCCGGUGUAGCGGUGAAAUGCGUAGAGAUCGGGAGGGACAUCAGUGGCGAAGGCGGCCAUCUGGGACAACACUGACGCUGAGGCACGAAAGCGUGGGGAGCAAACAGGAUUAGAUACCCCCGUAGUCCCUGUCUCUUAUAC